This 724-nucleotide long non-coding RNA is filed under the name Vigna radiata. RNAcentral's name for it is "long non-coding RNA (VRAD_LNC011091)". Lineage: Eukaryota; Viridiplantae; Streptophyta; Magnoliopsida; Fabales; Fabaceae. The record is from RNAcentral.
GGCAAACUUUUAUUCAGCUGUUUAAAACUUAUCUGACUUGACUCUGUGGACUAAAGUAAGUUGGCAUAAAUUCAUUAUAGAGAGUUUGCCAUGUGCACAUCAACCUAAAGACCAGCGUCGCCGCCGACCACCAUCCAUCUUCUUCUUCCUCGCACGCCGCUAGCAACCCUGCCGCCUCAACCAUGCGCCACCAUCUUCCUCUUAUCUUAGGCUAAUUACCAUGAACCUAGAAUUGUAUCAGACCACCACGAAUCAGAAAUCACGAACUCCAUCAACACCGCAAGCGUUGCUGCGACAGAUCUUCAAUGACUAAGUAGCGAGAAUCCACGGCUAGGCCACCACCUACACACACAGAAAACCAACCCAAGAAACCCAGAAUCAAACCCAGUUCGUCAUCACCAUCGCGCAACCAUCAAUCUCGAACCUACGGAAGACAGAACCCAGAAGCACAAGCCAACCCCAAUCGCAGAUCGCGUCUUCUGCACAGAACCGUGAAGCUACCUUGGCUUAUCUUCUCCGAAACACAAUGCGAGGAUCAAUAGUCUUCAUCGCACCACCUUCAUCGUCUCCAACAACAAGGAAGAAGCGCAGGCAGCAGCGGAAUCUAAAGAGCGGUGCAGUCGCAAGGGAGAACCGCGAGCAACGCCUCCAGACAGCGAAACUUCUCUUCCAUUCUCACGGCGCAGACAGAGGCAAAAUGUAUCCUCCCAAAUCCCUCUACCCC